RNAcentral lists this ribosomal RNA (469 nucleotides) under uncultured bacterium. Its description in RNAcentral is "partial 16S ribosomal RNA". It matches the Rfam family "Bacterial small subunit ribosomal RNA", at positions 28 to 507 of the family's 1533-position model. The record is from RNAcentral.
GACGAACGCUGGCGGCGUGCUUAACACAUGCAAGUCGAACGGAAAGGCCCUGCUUGCAGGGUGCUCGAGUGGCGAACGGGUGAGUAACACGUGGGUGAUCUGCCCCUUACUUUGGGAUAAGCCUGGGAAACUGGGUCUAAUACUGGAUAGGACCAUGCUGUAGGUGGUGUGGUGGAAAGAUUAGUUUCGGUAAGGGAUGAGCUCGCGGCCUAUCAGCUUGUUGGUGGGGUAAUGGCCUACCAAGGCGUCGACGGGUAGCCGGCCUGAGAGGGUGGACGGCCACAUUGGGACUGAGAUACGGCCCAGACUCCUACGGGAGGCAGCAGUGGGGAAUAUUGCACAAUGGGCGCAAGCCUGAUGCAGCGACGCCGCGUGGGGGAUGACGGCCUUCGGGUUGUACACUCCUUUCAGCCAUGACGAAGCCCUUGUGGUGACGGUAGUGGUAGAAGAAGCACCGGCUAACUACGUG